Non-coding RNA from Coprinopsis marcescibilis, 93 nucleotides. Lineage: Eukaryota; Fungi; Basidiomycota; Agaricomycetes; Agaricales; Psathyrellaceae. The record is from the annotation of a GenBank genome assembly.
GCCCGCCUAGCUCAAUCGGAUAGAGCGUCAGACUCUUACGAGACCUGAAUCGGGUGCAUCUGAAGGCUGCGAGUUCGACCCUCGCGGUGGGCU